This 912-nucleotide ribosomal RNA is filed under the name uncultured bacterium. Its description in RNAcentral is "bacterial SSU rRNA". It matches the Rfam family "Bacterial small subunit ribosomal RNA", at positions 457 to 1389 of the family's 1533-position model. The record is from RNAcentral.
CUAUAGACGCGAUUCUAUUUAGCGGCGCGAUUCGCGCUUGUGCCAGCCGCCGCGCUAAUACGUAGGGCGCGAGCGUUAAUCGUAAUUGCUGGCCGUUGCAUUACAGGGGCUGUUAUAUAAGACAGAUGUGAAAUCCCCGGGCUCAACCUGGGAACUGCAUUUGUGACUGUAUAGCUAGAGUACGGAAGAGGGGGAUGAAAUUCCGCGUGUAGCAGUGAAAUGCGUAGAUAUGCGGAGAAACACCGAUGGCGAAGGAAAUCCCGUGGCCCUGUACUGACGCUCAUGCACGAAAGCGUGGGGAGCAAACAGUAUUAGAUACCCUGAAAGUCCACGCCCUAAACGAUGUCAACUGGUUGUUGGCUCUUCACUGACUCAGUAACGAAGCUAACGCGUGAAGUUGACCGCCUGGGGAGUACGGCCGCAAGGUUGAAACUCAAAGGAAUGGACGGGAACCCGCACAAGCGGUGGAUGAUGUGGUUUAAUUCGAUGCAACGCGAAAAACCUUUACCCACUUUUGACAUGUACGGGAAUCCUUUAGAGAUAGAGGAGUGCUCGAAAGAGAGCCGUAACACAGGUGCUGCAUGGCUGUCGUCAGCUCGUGUCGUGAGAUGUUGGGUUAAGUCCCGCAACGAGCGCAACCCUCGCCAUUAGUUGCUACGAAAGGGCACUCUAAUGGGACUGCCGGUGAAAAACCGGAGAAAGGGGGGAUGACGCCAAGUCCUCAUGCCCUAUAUAGGGGGGUCUACACACGUCAUACAUCCGUGAUACAGAGGUGUGCAAACCCCGCGAGGGGGAGCUAAUCCUAAAAAGCAGGUCGUAGUCGGAAUCGCAGUCUGAAUCUCGACUGCGUGGAGUCGAACUCGAUAGAUAUCCGAUCAAAUGUCGGGUGAAACGUUCCCGGUCUGGCAUCAG